Molecule: transfer RNA, 73 nt
Filed under: Candidatus Woesebacteria bacterium
Lineage: Bacteria; Candidatus Woeseibacteriota
Description: tRNA-Thr
Rfam family: tRNA
About the family: Transfer RNA (tRNA) molecules are approximately 80 nucleotides in length.
Source: RNAcentral
GCCGAUGUAGCUCAGCUGGUAGAGCAAUGCUUUCGUAAAGCAGAGGUCGGUGGUUCGAAGCCACCCAUCGGCU